AGGACGAACGCUUGCGGCGUGCCUAAGAAAUGCAAGUCGAACGGGGUGCAGCAAUGCAUCUAGUGGCGAACGGUCGCGUAACACGUAAGCAACCUGCCCUAAGGUGGGGGACAACAGUCCGAAAGGAUUGCUAAUACCGCAUGUGGUUCUUUGGUCGCAUGACUGAAGAUCUAAAGCCUAGUGCGCCUUAGGAUGGGCUUGCGGCCUAUCAGGUAGUUGGUGGGGUAAUGGCCUACCAAGCCGACGACGGGUAGCUGGUCUGAGAGGACGAUCAGCCGGAUUGGGACUGAGAUACGGCCCAGACUCCUACGGGGGGCAGCAAUUAGGAAUCUUGCACAAUGGGGGAAACCCUGAUGCAGCGACGUCGCGUGAAGGAUGAAGGAUUUCGGUCUGUAAACUUCUUAGUGGGGACGAAGAUGUGACGGUACCCAGAAUAAGCCCGGCUAACUACGCGCCAGCAGCCGC
This 465-nucleotide ribosomal RNA is filed under the name uncultured bacterium. RNAcentral's name for it is "SSU rRNA". It matches the Rfam family "Bacterial small subunit ribosomal RNA", at positions 26 to 518 of the family's 1533-position model. The record is from RNAcentral.